UAAUGUGAAUUGCACAAUUCAGNGAAUCAUCGAAUCUUUGAACGCACCUUGCGCUCCUUGGUAUUCCGAGGAGCAUGCCUGUUUGAGUGUCAUUAAAUUCUCAACCUU
Molecule: ribosomal RNA, 108 nt
Filed under: Galerina harrisonii
Lineage: Eukaryota; Fungi; Basidiomycota; Agaricomycetes; Agaricales; Galerinaceae
Description: partial 5.8S ribosomal RNA
Rfam family: 5.8S ribosomal RNA (bases 1-92)
About the family: 5.8S ribosomal RNA (5.8S rRNA) is a component of the large subunit of the eukaryotic ribosome. It is transcribed by RNA polymerase I as part of the 45S precursor that also contains 18S and 28S rRNA.
Source: RNAcentral